AGUUUCAUUGAUCCUCUCAAAGAACCAUCAUUUGAUUACAUUGAUUUUCUUGAUUGUUUUCUUAUUCUCUGUUUUUCUCCACUCUAAUCUUCAUUGUUUCUUUCUACUAGCUUUGGGUUUAGUUUGUGCUUCCUUGCCUCGUUCCUUAUGCUAUAAGAUUAGAUGCUCAUCCUGGAGACUGUUCCAUGUGCACUUGAGAAAACCGUGGGUGAUACUGUUGCUGAGUCCAAGUUGUCCAAGUUGUCCAUAUUAUGUCUUGGUCCUCAAUUUCUUUCCCAAUCUUCUGCUUCAUGGUUGUCUCCAUUAUCAGAAGUGGGGUGCCAAAGACUCCAACUGUUAUGCAGAACUGCUUAUUUCUGCUUUUAAGACUCGAAGGAGGAGCUAGUGAUGUAGACUGGCUUUGGCGCUCAUCAGAUUUAAGAAUACUCCAGUUGCUGAAUGAGAGGAGGGAGAAUGGACCCAGUGAAUUUGAACUUAACACCAUGACACCAAUCACUGUUCUAAACCAGAGGUGACCUGAGAGUGCCCACCACUAGGGUGCAAGUGCUUACUUGUGGAGCUUGGGGCCUGAACAGUCAGCUCACAGUAGAUGGUGAAGGAUGAAUCUACUCUCACCCCACAGCUCUGCCUGCUUGGACACUCCAGAAAGGAUGCUGUAACCCAGGGCUGGUUGGAAUGGGCAGCAGAAACAUGCAGACCUACCCCUGGGGGGCUGCUCUCAGCAGAGCACAGCCAGCGGUAAUCCAAAUCACAGGUGAUGGGCUCUCAACAGCCUGACUGAGGACAGGUGAGCAUCAGGAUGCACUGGCAACACACUGCAAGGAGCCAGCAGGGAGGACGCUCAGCUGCAAUGUACUGGGAGGAAAGGGGUCCACGUAGGAGCAAUGGCCAGGGCACAGACCCAGAACUGACUCUGAAUCUACACUGUUGAACAG
Bos taurus (domestic cattle) is the source of this 935-nucleotide long non-coding RNA. Lineage: Eukaryota; Metazoa; Chordata; Mammalia; Artiodactyla; Bovidae. The record is from Ensembl.